Molecule: long non-coding RNA, 402 nt
Organism: Ipomoea nil (Japanese morning glory)
Lineage: Eukaryota; Viridiplantae; Streptophyta; Magnoliopsida; Solanales; Convolvulaceae
Exons: 3
Source: RefSeq, a predicted model, not a curated record
GCACAGCGAGAGGAUGUGGGUGGCAAAAUAUUGGUGCAAUAGUCAACUUGGGAGCCUAUUAUUUGCUAGGGAUACCUGCUGGAAUACUCUUAGCUUUCGUCUAUCAUGUUGGAGGCAUGGGACUUUGGUUGGGGAUCACAAUAGCCCUCUUCGUACAAGCAGUACUGUACUUUAUAAUUACUUUGCGAACAAACUGGGAAAAUGAGGCAACGAAGGCUUUUGAUAGAGUACACAACACCAAGCAUGACGUUGCAGUAGCAUGAGGAUUGAGGAAUAUUUUAUAGACAAAUAUUAUGUUGUUGGAACAAAUAAAUUAUAGAUCAUGCAUUCAUGCAGUGAUUACAUAAAUGUGAUUAACGGUCUCCGUAAAAUAACCUAUGAAUUUCCCUUGUUGGAAUUUUU